This 61-nucleotide transfer RNA is filed under the name Olidiana ritcheriina. Its description in RNAcentral is "tRNA-Cys". The record is from RNAcentral. Lineage: Eukaryota; Metazoa; Arthropoda; Insecta; Hemiptera; Cicadellidae.
AGGUUUUAUAGUUUAUAUUAAAAUGCUAAAUUGCAAGUUUAGAGAAUUGUUUAAGACUUAU